Molecule: non-coding RNA, 112 nt
Organism: Acanthosepion pharaonis
Lineage: Eukaryota; Metazoa; Mollusca; Cephalopoda; Sepiida; Sepiidae
Source: the annotation of a GenBank genome assembly
AUGGCCAUAUCAUGUUGAAACACCUUUUCUUGUAUGAUCACCAAAGUUAAGCAAUGUUUAGCCUGGUCAGUAUCUAGAGUGGUGACCACUUGGGAAUACCAGGUGCUGUAAG